This 497-nucleotide ribosomal RNA is filed under the name uncultured bacterium. Its description in RNAcentral is "partial 16S ribosomal RNA". It matches the Rfam family "Bacterial small subunit ribosomal RNA", at positions 28 to 507 of the family's 1533-position model. The record is from RNAcentral.
GAUGAACGCUGGCGGCGUGCCUAAUACAUGCAAGUCGAGCGAACGGACGAGAAGCUUGCUUCUCUGAUGUUAGCGGCGGACGGGUGAGUAACACGUGGAUAACCUACCUAUAAGACUGGGAUAACUUCGGGAAACCGUAGCUAAUACCGGAUAAUAUUUUGAACCGCAUGGUUCAAAAGUGAAAGACGGUCUUGCUGUCACUUAUAGAUGGAUCCGCGCUGCAUUAGCUAGUUGGUAAGGUAACGGCUUACCAAGGCAACGAUGCAUAGCCGACCUGAGAGGGUGAUCGGCCACACUGGAACGGAGACACGGUCCAGACUCCUACGGGAGGCAGCAGUAGGGAAUCUUCCGCAAAGGGCGAAAGCCUGACGGAGCAACGCCGCGUGAGUGAUGAAGGUCUUCGGAUCGUAAAACUCUGUUAUUAGGGAAGAACAUAUGUGUAAGUAACUGUGCACAUCUUGACGGUACCUAAUCAGAAAGCCACGGCUAACUACGUG